GUGCUUCUACUUUGUCCUAAAAUGGUGGCCAUGAGGUACCCCGCAAAAAGACAGGAUGGUUUCUAUAUCCAUUUAAACUGUCAAGUGAGGACAGAAGCAUGGCUUUGUUUACCACUUUCUAGAGCAGAGAUAGAUUUGGGCAAAAGUGUAUUAUCAGGGAGUCCCACAGAAGCCGUAUUCUGGAAACACACAGAAUUAAUGAGUACUUCUGGUGGUAGCCCUGGAGGCUAGCAAUGUAUUUUUGAUCUUGCCUUUGAUUUGCUAAAUUUUUAAAAUGUAGUUUUCAUCCUAGCUCAUGCUAGUGUCAGUGCGUGUGAGAACUAAAUUAGUGUUUGUUCAUCCAGAGUUGCUUCCACCAGAUGGAAACAGUGACAUUCAGCCUGUCCUGGGGAUAUAGCUGUCAGAGAAAAAGUAAAGAGCCAUUAGCUGGUGAUGUUUCUGGAUAUUACUGAUGUGGAUGAGAGUUGAUCUUGUAUUUUUUAUCAUUAAUUUGUGAGAAGUUACUGUUGUGGCUUUUGUCUAAACUGUAUUAAUCUAAAUUGUUAAUUAUGCAAACUUUUUUACACAUAUAUUACCCUUCUGUAUAUAUUCAGGGAAAAAUAAAUCUGUAAUACUAAAGUGAAUUAAUCAUAAAUCUAGCUCUGUAGCUUUAGGAAAGACAGCCUAUCACCAUGUCUUCCCAUUAGGAAAAGAGAAUAGUUGAGAUUUAUUACACUGUUUUUCACAAGUGUAGAUUUCAUAGUACAGUGGACUGAGAUGCCAGCAAAAUGUAACUAGGGACUCUUCUAGUAUCUUAGUAUAUGUUUUUUAAAUGCUUUUUCCUAUCAAACAUGGCCCAUGAUCUGUUGUGAAGCCACUGAUGGAUUAUCUAUCGAGUCCUCUACUAUGAUGAGUAAAAGCUCUGUGAAACAGUGACAAGUUACAAGACAGUUUCCUUAAAAUUCAGCACCAGCAGAUUGUCUUUGAAGUGAACUUCCCUGCAUAUUUUUUCUGAUAAUAUUUGGCUGGGGAGAAUUCUCUCUUUAUCAAAGGUCUGUUACCCCAGAGCCAAGAUGUUGAUGGCUGAUGAAAGUGCUACAGCGCCUUGUUACACUCAGCAGCUUAAAAGUCAAUAAAAACUGUUUUUUUUCUUGUUGCACUCUUUUCUUCCUUUUCUUUGGAGGUGUUUGCUAUAGGCAAGGUAAGCUAUUAAAUGCUUCUUUAAUCUGAAUCAGAAGACUUUUCACACAAGGUUUAAUAUUUUCUUUUUAAGUAGCCUGUUAUAUGUCGAAGGAAAGCUAAAGACUAGAGAGGCUUCAUUUAUCUUACCAAUGACAAGAACUGAGAAAAAAAUUAACAAUUUCAGUGUAUUGUUGAUGAAUGUUGUUCCUGUGAAUAAAAAGAUGUGGACAGCAGUUGUGGACACUAUUCUUUGAGAACAAUGGCUAUAUACAGUACUUUAAUAGAACUGUAAAGGCAUGGGUGAUCAAUACAGGGUAAGAGUUGUUAAAAUUAAGACUUUGAGUGGAAACCAGGCUGGGAAAAAUGUAACCCUUGCAUCUUAUUUGGGAAGAAACCAACAGUCCUUGGAUUUGGGUCAUUUCAUUACUGUCCUAGGAAAUCCAGGGUCAUCAGGUUAAACAAUGGGCUUGGAAAGUUUUGUAAGUCGUUUGUUGAUCCACGAUUUUGGAAAAUACCUCGUUGUAGGUCUCUCUUUC
Long non-coding RNA from Ficedula albicollis (Collared flycatcher), 1697 nucleotides. Lineage: Eukaryota; Metazoa; Chordata; Aves; Passeriformes; Muscicapidae. The record is from Ensembl.